RNAcentral lists this long non-coding RNA (694 nucleotides) under Anas platyrhynchos platyrhynchos (common mallard). Its description in RNAcentral is "lncRNA (ENSAPLG00000017188.1)". Lineage: Eukaryota; Metazoa; Chordata; Aves; Anseriformes; Anatidae. The record is from RNAcentral.
GAGACUGAGAAGAAGAAGAUCAGAGAAAAGUCAGCUCCCCAUGUGGAAAAGCCUCACAGAUGUCCCAAAGGAGGCUUACGGUAUUCAUGUUCAAACUUUGUGCCUUUCAGAAGCAAUUAUAUAGAAGAUGGACAUAACCCAAAAUAACAGGCACAGCACAAAGCAGAAUGCAUGAAAACAAAGCUCAAGAAUUAUGAGAAACAUCAGAUUGACAACCAAGCAAGCACUGAGCAAAGUCACGUGGACAAAAGGACAGAUUAUCCAUAUUUUGGAGCUACUGGAAAAUCAUUCUUCAGUCCCUGAGAGUUUCUAUUAAGAAGCUUGGUUGCAUUCCUGGCCACAGACACCAUCACUGUAAACAUCACCCAUUCAGCUAAUUUUGUGUUCUAAACAUCACCCAUUCAGCUAAUUUUGUGUUCUGACAUUUUCCUGAAUGUCUGUAGAUCUGGACUAUGGAAACUAGAUAAUAUAUAUCCAGCUGGUUCCCUUCCUGGGUCAGUUGCAGGUAAGUAUCCUGACAAUUUAGGGAAAAAACAUGCCUAGUUUUGACAUUUCAUGAUCUUUUGGGACAUAUAGAAAUCAAGGAAUAUGGGAUGAGAAGAAGAAAUAUUUUAGUUUUUAUCAUUUAUAAAGGUUUAGAGGGUGGGGAGGUAAGUAAAAGACCAUGUAAAUAAAAGGCCACAGGGCCAAGACA